CAACAGGAUUUUAUAAAAUCCACCCAACGUGCAGAGAAACAUUCAU
This is a non-coding RNA of Thalassiosira oceanica, 46 nucleotides long. The record is from Rfam. Lineage: Eukaryota; Bacillariophyta; Thalassiosirophyceae; Thalassiosirales; Thalassiosiraceae.